GACGGGGGCCCGCACAAGCGGUGGAGCAUGUGGUUUAAUUCGACGCAACGCGAAAAACCUUACCUGGGUUUUGACAUGCCGAGUACCCGAUGGAAACAUUGGGGUGCCCCGUAAGGGGAACUUGGACACAGGUGCUGCAUGGCUGUCGUCAGCUCGUGCCGUGAGGUGUUGGGUUAAGUCCCGCAACGAGCGCAACCCUCACCCUUAGUUGCCAUCAUUAAGUUGGGCACCCUAAGGGAACUGCCGCAGUUAAUGCGGAGGAAGGUGGGGAUGACGUCAAGUCCUCAUGGCCCUUAUAUCCAGGGCUACACACGUGCUACAAUGGACGGUACAAAGGGUCGCGAACCUGCAAAGGGGAGCUAACCCCAGAAAACCGCUCUCAGUUCGGAUUGGAGUCUGCAACCCGACUCCAUGAAGUUGGAAUCGCUAGUAAUCGCGGAUCAGAACGCCGCGGUGAAUACGUUCCCGGGCCUU
RNAcentral lists this ribosomal RNA (474 nucleotides) under uncultured Syntrophorhabdus sp. Its description in RNAcentral is "bacterial SSU rRNA". It matches the Rfam family "Bacterial small subunit ribosomal RNA", at positions 912 to 1382 of the family's 1533-position model. Lineage: Bacteria; Pseudomonadati; Thermodesulfobacteriota; Syntrophorhabdia; Syntrophorhabdales; Syntrophorhabdaceae. The record is from RNAcentral.